This 46-nucleotide non-coding RNA is filed under the name Schistosoma margrebowiei. The record is from RNAcentral. Lineage: Eukaryota; Metazoa; Platyhelminthes; Trematoda; Strigeidida; Schistosomatidae.
ACACUGCUGAGGAGUCCCAUACUAGGACGAAAUGGUCGUCCAGUAC